UACGUAGGGAGCAAGCGUUGUUCGGAUUUACUGGGCGUAAAGGGCGCGUAGGCGGCAAAUUAAGUCAGCUGUGAAAUCUCCGGGCUUAACUCGGAACGGUCAGCUGAUACUGAUCUGCUAGAGUGCGGAAGGGGCAAUCGGAAUUCUUGGUGUAGCGGUGAAAUGCGCAGAUAUCAGGAAGAACACCUAUGGCGAAGGCAGCUCUCUGGGACGGUACUGACGCUGAGACACGAAAGCCAGGGGAGCAAACGGG
This 253-nucleotide ribosomal RNA is filed under the name uncultured bacterium. RNAcentral's name for it is "partial 16S ribosomal RNA". It matches the Rfam family "Bacterial small subunit ribosomal RNA", at positions 524 to 776 of the family's 1533-position model. The record is from RNAcentral.